Long non-coding RNA from Carassius auratus (goldfish), 422 nucleotides. RefSeq lists it as uncharacterized. The record is from RefSeq and is a predicted model, not a curated record. The transcript has 3 exons. Lineage: Eukaryota; Metazoa; Chordata; Actinopteri; Cypriniformes; Cyprinidae.
CUUCAAUUUCACAGGCAAAAAUCACAACCGAACGGAGAGGAGGUCACAGACGCGGAUGUUUCUUUAAAUGAGGUCUCUGAAAAGAUGAAGAAAAGAGAAAAAAAUAAAAGUUACAAAGAGCGGGUAAACUCAGUGUACUAUGAGUGGUUUACAGAUCACCCACCACAGAGGAAACCAUCCACUUCAGAUUGUACAGUAUUGUACAAAUAUAUGGACUAGUCUAAAACAAAGAACUUUAGUCUUGUUUCAGUAAUAAGAAAUGUCUUAAUAACGCAUUAUAGUGAGUUCUAAGUGCAAACACCGUUUGUUUUCAUUGGUCACGAUAAGAGGGCCAUAAGAGGGCGCUGUUGCACUACAUCACUAAUAAGGUGAGCUUCAUAAAUAACAAAUAUUAAACGAAUAGUUACAACUAAAAAAAAAAA